Molecule: long non-coding RNA, 741 nt
Organism: Homo sapiens (human)
Lineage: Eukaryota; Metazoa; Chordata; Mammalia; Primates; Hominidae
Exons: 4
Source: RefSeq, a predicted model, not a curated record
UGUUGUUUCAAAAGAUUGCUGUUUGAAGUCUUGUCCAGCAUGUAAGGAGCUCAGAAGUUAUCACUCCCAUUCUCACACAAGAAAAAGUCUGACCAAACUGUAAAUCAACAACUCUUUCCAUAUCCACCAGGAAAUUGAAGUCACUGAUUCCCCGCAAAAUUGAAAAGACAGACAGGUAGAUACAUAGAAUCAGAACUCAAUGAAGCAGAAGCCAGGAAACAGAAGUCUCCAUGGGAACCAGUACUGAAGAAAGAAAUUCUAAAAUGUAAUUGACAAAUUGCUGGAGGCUCAGUGUGGACAAAUCUGAGAGUUAAAAACUCUGGGAGCACCCUGUGACCCGCCCCCAGCACAAGCUUCACCCUGGGACAGAGCCACCAGCCAUUCAUCCCGCAGAAGACCAGGCACAGCAAAGCUGCAGCCACAGCUCACAGCUAUCCCAGGAUGGGAUCCUCUGAGAGUGCAGGCAGAACUGUGUUUGUCAAGGGGUUUGAAGGUGAGGUUCCAGAAACCAUCUGUGAAAAUUAGAUACCUACGUGGAUCUGGAUACAAAUGCUACUGCUGGUGAGAACAGAGCUAUGGCAUGCCUAUUUCACAGUCUCUGACUUAGCCCAAGUUCUAAGAGUUGACUCUAACAGUCUUGAAAACUACCUCAGGAUAUAUUUUUUCCCUUGAAACAAUGCUGUAAAUGGUGGCCAGAAUCUCAAAUACAUAUCCAAUUGUCCAUAGCAUUGAGGAGGCAUC